UGUUGCUGCACUUGUAUCUGUUGCUGCUACCAGUAUGUCCUGUCAUUAUCAAAUAAGAGAAAUUAAGAUCUUAAACCAGACCUGUCUUUUAAAUUGUGGUUAGUGUGAUUGCGGUCAUUAUGAUGCGGAUUGUGAACAUUAUGGUAUUAAUUUGAUGCGUCUUGAUAUGGCCCAAUGCAGUCUGAUGCAGUUACGUUGCUGCCCCAUCAUUGUAAUUCAGUGUCACAAUACAAUUGCAGUUUGAUGUGGUCACUACAACUAUAAUAUUAUGACAUCAUAGAGCAAUACAAUCCACACUUUAAAUCAUUGAAUCAGACUAUCACUUCAUGUUCUAUGUUCAAAAUGAUUAAUAUCAUAUAAAUUAAAAGUAAAAGGGGCAUUGGUGAUGAAACUGGUUUUUCCACAGGAGCUUAAUGUCAAAUGUGAUGGUGGUAGAAUUUAAUUUUGUGAAAGUAGAACCAUAAAGUUCUGAUUAAAAGUAAAAGGGGCUUUGGUGAUGAAACUGCUUUUUUCAUAGAAGCUUAAUGUCAGAUGUGAUUGUGGUACAAUUUAAUUUUGUGAAAGUAGAACUAUAAAGUUCUGAUUAAAAGUAAAAAGGGGCAUUGGUGAUGAAACUGCUUUCUUCAUAGAAGCUUAAUGUCAAAUGUGAUUGUGGUACAAUUUAAUUUUGUGAAAGUAGGUGGAAGGAGUAUGAGUGUUUUUGAUUAG
This is a non-coding RNA of Lupinus albus (white lupine), 708 nucleotides long. The record is from the annotation of a GenBank genome assembly. NCBI's taxonomy places the organism in Eukaryota, Viridiplantae, Streptophyta, Magnoliopsida, Fabales, Fabaceae.